AACGAACGCUGGCGGCAUGCCUAACACAUGCAAGUCGAACGAGAUCUUCGGGUCUAGUGGCGCACGGGUGCGUAACGCGUGGGAAUCUGCCCUUUGGUUCGGAAUAACAGUUGGAAACGACUGCUAAUACCGGAUGAUGACGAAAGUCCAAAGAUUUAUCGCCAGAGGAUGAGCCCGCGUAGGAUUAGCUAGUUGGUGUGGUAAAGGCGCACCAAGGCGACGAUCCUUAGCUGGUCUGAGAGGAUGAUCAGCCACACUGGGACUGAGACACGGCCCAGACUCCUACGGGAGGCAGCAGUGGGGAAUAUUGGACAAUGGGCGAAAGCCUGAUCCAGCAAUGCCGCGUGAGUGAUGAAGGCCUUAGGGUUGUAAAGCUCUUUUACCCGGGAUGAUAAUGACAGUACCACCAGAAGAAGCCCCGGCUAACUCCGUGCCAGCAGCCGCCGUAA
RNAcentral lists this ribosomal RNA (449 nucleotides) under uncultured bacterium. Its description in RNAcentral is "partial 16S ribosomal RNA". It matches the Rfam family "Bacterial small subunit ribosomal RNA", at positions 29 to 523 of the family's 1533-position model. The record is from RNAcentral.